CAAGAGAGAACCAGAAAGCUCCCAGUCAGCACUGCACUGCAAUCAGUGAUUAAUUUGUUGCAAGACACUUUGCUUGCUGUACAUGACAGAGCUCAUAAAUUCUCAUUUUUAUUGAUGUUGUCCUGGCCGAGGGGGCGAUGCUGGAAGAGGCUGCUGUGCUGCAGGCACCCUGCAGAGCUCCUGGGACUGCUGGAGCAGCACAGGCAGCCGCAGCCAUCGGUACCACCGGACUGGGAUGGCCACGAUUCACCACAGACGUGGGCUCAUCACCCACUGCCUCCAUGCUCACAGAGCCUUCCCAGAAGAAGCUCCAUCAGUACAUGAGCCUCAGAGCUCUGCGAGCCUGUGGCCCUCAGUGUAAGGAAACAAGGCCUCCUGCUAGCAGAGCUCUGCGCCCUGGCUGGGAGCAUUCUGCUCCCACAUGGCAGGCAAUCUGGCACUGCCCUCUCUUGGUGGGUUCUACAGAAUUUGAUGCUCUAGGCUCUACUUGUGCCCACCAUCAGGAGACACGAGGAGGACCAUGGGCUCACCAGCCCUGUCUACUGUCCUCACUAUUUAGAUAUGUUCUUUGCACCACUCCUGCAGACUGCAGCACCCUCACAUCUAAAAUUAGGACUGAAUGAGGCAGUGGCUUUGUGUUUUGCUAUCACGGGUGAUACAACGUUUCUCUGAACAGCUCUUCCCAACACAAAUGACAACUGUGUUGUACACUGUUAAAUCUGUCAUCAAAUUGCAAGUCUCAAAUGGUGCAAGUCAAAGAGAAUCAAAGGAGGGGAGUGAUUCUGUACAAUGCCCAGGGGAGCUGAGGGAGCCUUUCAAAUAAAAAAAGGUGUUUUUUCUGUCACUUUCAGCAGAAGGAAGCUCUCAAAAUUACUGAGUGCUUUCUCAUCCCACUCACUAUCUUCCCAGCUUCCCAAAUGUACACCAUAGGGCCACAGGAGCCUGGAAGCUGCUGUGAUGACAGCCCAGGCAUGCAGUGGCCACGGCUCGGAUGUGCUGCAACAGCACAGCCCCAUGCAGGGGCUCACCAAGAGUGUUCCCUGCUGCCCUCCGCUCACAUCUCCAUGCUCUAACCCUGCUGCUAACGAGGCCCAGCAGGUCCCUGAGCCUCCCAGGUUCAGGUGCUGUUCCCCUCUCGUGGGCACUGCUGUCACGCUCUGGGACAACUCCUACUGACACCUUCAGCUGUUGUGGGGCUGGAGCCACAAAGAAGCAAGGAGAGUCAUAUCAGUUUACCUCUGACUGUUAACACAACCAUUAAAUACCGUUUGCUACAUUAAGCUACAGUUCGUUGGGAACAAGUGCAGGUGCAGCCUUGCCCUCCCCCCAUGGCAUAUCACCUUCCUCAUCCCCCGCAGCCCCCGGUCCUGCAGACGAGGUCACUGCUGUGUCUGCCUACCUGCUCCCAGAUGCACAUAUUCAUACACUGCGUUUUCCAGCUGUGAUUAUUAUUUGCUGAAUAGUGAAUGAUCCAAAGGGCAAAGGGGGUUCUGCUGCUGUUUAAGGAGGAGCAGAGCAGACAAUUGGAGGGGAAGUGGGGAGCGACCAACGAUGGGGGAGGAGAGCGAGGGAGAGAAAGGCGCCCGGCUCCUUUAGCCCCAGACAGAACGCGAGAAACAAACUGCAGAAGGGAAAUAUUGUGAUGGAUAUCCACAGAGUCAAAGGAAGUCGAAGAAGUGGCAGGGCAGACUGCACUCGGAUCUGACUGCCUGGAAAAGUCCCCACGGCCCCCGCAGCCUGACCCUGCACCAGGCUUGCAGCACUGUGCAGAGGUUUGUCAACAUGCACUGCUUUAAAUGUGCCCAGAGAGCACCCACAGAAGUCAAUGACCUGGCACUAUCAGUGACAGUGACACAGGAGCCCAGCACGCAGCCAGCAACUCCGUGGCAAAUCCCUGCAGCCUUUGUGGGCUGCUAGCCCCAUAGCCCUGUACCCCAUAGCCCUGUUCCCCACAGCCCCCAUGCUGUGGUUUCUCCUCUCACGCUCACAGUCCCGUGUUGGCAGCAGCUUCAGGAGCAGCUGUCCUUGCUCCUAGCAAUGCCCUCCAGCAUCAGGAUACUACGUUCCUCAGCACUGUGAGCUAAAGCUGCUCAAGGAAACGUGAUGCAUGCCAGACUCGGGAUGCCUAAAGGGAGCUGACACUGCCGACACUGGGACUCAGAUGGGAAGAAUUCUUCCAACAAGGAAACCAAUUAAAAAACAUAACUCAUACUCGUACAUAGCUUAGAAGGUAUAAAAAUCAAAACUGAAAAUUGUCCUCAUCCCUAAAACAGAACACAUAAAAAAUAUUUACUUCUGUGCAACUCAAAGUUAAUUUAAAAAGGAAACGUUCUAAAGGUCACCUGGAUCUUUUGCAUGUAUCCAUACACCUGAAAGGCAAGGCAAUGGUUUCCAUGUGAGAUUUUAAAGUUUAUGGAUGUUUCUGACCUCAUUAAACCAGAGCUUCAUGGGAAAAGACAAACAGGGCAAUCGGAUCAGGUGAAGGAUGGUUUUGUACAUGGGCACAGGCUCUGCAUGGUGCCAGCAGCCCUGUGGGCCCAGGGGAAGGCUGAGGCUGCCCAGCACUGAGCUGCAGGGCCAUUCCACAGGGGCUGCUCACAAACCCGUUUGGUUGUGUCGCUCCCAACUGAAUCACUGCCACUGCUUUGUUGUGUUGUUCUUGAGCGAAUCUCUGCCACAUCACUUUCUCAGAGUUCCUGGAGAUAUAUCCCUAUAAGACAAGGAAGACUGCAGCUACACUGACUUAACCCCAGAGUGUAUCUAACAAAUAUAUCAGCUGCCAGUAGCUCCGUGUAAGUGCAGAGUUUUACUGCAGUCAUCGUAACAGGAUCUGUCACUACGGUGUCCUCUGGAUGUCAUUAAUAAAUAAUAUAUGAAACCACUCAGGAAGAGGGAGAAAAAAUAUUUCUCAUGUUUUCUGGAGCACACUGAGAGGUCAAUGGCAGUGACAGGGAAAGGAGAAGGUGAAGGGGAUGGGCUCAGGAAAUGGCAGCUUUGCAGUGUCCCAGAGGUGGGCAGAUGGAGCAGAACAUCCCAGGUGGCUCCGUCGUAUCUUAGAGUACGUAAACGACUGGCAUUCAGCUGUUUUUGCAGAUCUCUCUCCUAACCCCUGCUCUUUCUCAGCUGCUUUAUGCUCCCCCUUACUCACAAUAAGAAGGGAAGAAGGAAACUAAGCAGGCAGAGGAAUGUCCUUUUCCAAAAAAGAGCAGUGAGCUAUCCUCAAAACAGCCAUAGACAAUUAGCUGGGAGAGCCAAAACUCCCAACCCGAAGUACAGACAAGACAAACACAUGCUGUCCAUUGGAGAGAAACAGCCUCAUCAUCAUUUACCAAGCUAAUGUUUUUCCCUUGCGUGCCAAGCCAGCACAAGGGCAAGUGAGUCAGUUUUCACUGCCUGUACACUUCAGACUAUGGGAGACUCAGACCCAUCACCCAGCACUGCUGCUCAGCCCCAGCUCCCACCUCCAUCCCAGAGCCUCAGCCUCAGCCCCUGGAGUUUCGCUGCAGCCACUUUUCUGGUUUAAAAAGUACUUUCCUUUUGCAAUGUGCAGCCCACAUGCAGCCAUGUUCUCACUCCUCGUCCACAAAGCUCAAUGACUUGCUUUAGUUUGCUGCAGCCUACAAUGGGAUUUCAAAACUUGUCACACCUUUCCAAGAUCCUGAUCCUGUUCCUGCUCCCCACCUUCUGUUUUCCAGACCGAUCCCUAGGGAAGGCUGAAAUCCAAAUCUAUCUCCUGGGCAAUGACUCUCCAUCACUCUGUGGGUGCUCAGGCACAUCCCUGGAGCUCACUAGCACUCUGAAUGUCCUGCACUUGGUUGAGACAAAAAGUGGAGCA
Non-coding RNA from Meleagris gallopavo (turkey), 3835 nucleotides. Lineage: Eukaryota; Metazoa; Chordata; Aves; Galliformes; Phasianidae. The record is from RefSeq and is a predicted model, not a curated record.